Molecule: ribosomal RNA, 570 nt
Filed under: uncultured Gammaproteobacteria bacterium
Lineage: Bacteria; Pseudomonadati; Pseudomonadota; Gammaproteobacteria
Description: bacterial SSU rRNA
Rfam family: Bacterial small subunit ribosomal RNA
Source: RNAcentral
GAGACAUUACGGGAGGCAGCAGUAGGGAAUCUUCGGCAAUGGGCUAACGCCUGACCGAGCGACGCCGCGUGGGGGAAGACGGCCUUCGGGUUGUAAACCCCUUUUCUACGGGACGAACUUUGACGGUACCGUAGGAAUAAGAGGUUGCUAACUCUGUGCCAGCAGCAGCGGUAAUACAGAGACCUCAAACGUUAUCCGGAAUCACUGGGCGUAAAGCGUACCGAUCGGCGGUUUUGUAAGUCUUUGGUGAAAGCCUGGAGCUCAACUCCAGAAUCGCCAAGGAAACUAUAAGACUAGAGGUGCAAAGAGGGAGCUGGAACUUUGGGUGUAGCGGUGAAAUGCGUUGAUAUCCAAAGGAACACUAAUAGCGAAGGCAGGCUCCUGGGUGCAUUCUGACGCUGCUAGGACGAAAGCGUGGGGAGCGAAUGGGAUUAGAUACCCCAGUAGUCCACGCCGUAAACGAUGAUAACUAGUCGCCAGGCAUGUAUCGACCCUGCUUAGUGACGAAGCUAACGCGUUAAGUUAUCCGCCUGGGGAGUACGGUCGCAAGACUAAAACUCAAAGGAAUUG